RNAcentral lists this unclassified non-coding RNA (200 nucleotides) under Chytridiomycota sp. RNAcentral's name for it is "partial internal transcribed spacer 2". The record is from RNAcentral. Lineage: Eukaryota; Fungi; Chytridiomycota.
UUAAGUUCAGCGGGUUUUCUUGCCCAAUUUCAGACCAAGUUAACAGAUUAUCCAGCUUACGCGGAAAACCUGGGCAUUAGGAGUGCACGACAACAGGGUUGCUAGUGGCGAGCUCAACAGGUGGAAGCGAACAAUAAUAUUCAUCUUUUUGCACCUUUAAAGCUAACCGGCAACAGCCGAAGCCAGCACAAUCAUUUUGA